This is a long non-coding RNA of Panicum virgatum (switchgrass), 924 nucleotides long. RefSeq lists it as uncharacterized. The transcript has 4 exons. NCBI's taxonomy places the organism in Eukaryota, Viridiplantae, Streptophyta, Magnoliopsida, Poales, Poaceae. The record is from RefSeq and is a predicted model, not a curated record.
GAAGUAAGGAUAGCAGCGGAUAGAAAACAAUGAAGUUUAUUCCUCUGAAAGAACAUGGAGAACCAGUUGUUAUUUCACCGCCACUUCCAUAGAACAGAUUGAGGAACUAAGCAGCAUCUGGAUGUACAUACCUGAGGAUCUUCUGCUUGUAGAAGCUCUAGAAAACACCUUGAGAAAAGUUGAAGAAGUGUUAUCAAGGUUUGCUAAAGAUGGGAUAUCUCUAUUGGAUCAAGAAGAGGAUAUCAAGGUACAAUACAAUCAAAAUCUUUUCGAAAAGCUACCAGAAGAAUAGAAGCUCUGGAGGGCUUAUUUUAGAAGCAUGAUAACCAUAGUUCUACCCAUAUCCAGGAAAAACUUAGUCUUUCAUGCUAAGCAAGAAUUAUCAGCUAAUAUAAAGUCCAUCAAGAAGCUCCAGGAUGGCCCCGAAGCCAAGGGAGCAGAUUGAUUUGCUCUUCUACCAAUUGCAGGAAACAGCGAGAAGGGUUGCUAACCUUCAGCUGGAGUGCAACAUCCAAAUUGACGUGGAAAGCUUUGCGAAUUCUUUCUGACCUGACAUAAUGGAAGUGGUGUAUUCAUGGGCCAAAGGGUCGAAAUUCUACCAAAUCAUGGAGAUGACUCAAGUGUUCGAAGGCAGCAUGAUCAGUGCCAUCUGGAGGCUGGAGGAGGCUCUUCAGCAGCUAAUUCUGGCACCCAAGUCGAUUGGGGAAACCAAAUUGGAAGCAAACUUGAGGAGGCAGUCAGCAAGAUCAAGAGGAAUCGAUGUAGCUUGUACAAGUAAAUUGGUUAGGAAUAGUCCAUCGACGGAAAUCUGUACUGAUUUUUGCCUUGUACACAAUCACAGACACUGAAAUCCAUUGUUUAUUAUUUUAGUCAGAAAUGUAUAUUAUUGCAAAGCUCAAUGUCACUUGAGUGUCAAGCACUACA